RNAcentral lists this transfer RNA (66 nucleotides) under Pararetifusus carinatus. RNAcentral's name for it is "tRNA-Cys". The record is from RNAcentral. Lineage: Eukaryota; Metazoa; Mollusca; Gastropoda; Neogastropoda; Fasciolariidae.
CACACCAGAAAAAUUUAUUUCCUUUCUCGAUUUUGCAGGUCGAUGUUUUAUAUAAACUAUGGCGAG